This is a non-coding RNA of Malus domestica (apple), 4317 nucleotides long. NCBI's taxonomy places the organism in Eukaryota, Viridiplantae, Streptophyta, Magnoliopsida, Rosales, Rosaceae. The record is from RefSeq and is a predicted model, not a curated record.
AAACAUGUAGGCGCCGGGGUUUGAACCCCUUCCCUAUAGCUUAGGAUUAGUUGCUGCAAGCCAACUUGACUGUGGGCUUUGAGUUGUUAUUAUUGUACCAGUACAAUAUUUAUAGGCUUCUUGUAUUUAAUGCUUUAUAAAAUUUCUUAAACUUUACAAACCCUAGCCGUCUCACACUUUAUCUCACUUCCCAUUUCAGAUUUCAAACUCCUCCGCUGCGUCCUCUCUCUGCCUUUUGCUUCCUCAGCCCCUUCUCUCUCUCUCUCUCUCUCUCUCUCUCCUUCCUCUCUUCCUCCAAAUCACUCUCUCUCCAGUCUUCUCAUGUCCUCCUCACGGAUUCCUUCUUCCAAACCUUGAUUUUCCCUCGCCCCUUUCGAAUCAGAACCCCCUCUAAAUUGGAAGAUUCGAAUCCGGGUUUUCCGAUCUCUCACAGAUUUGUUCCAGUUCGUAUUCAUUUGCAGAUUUCUUCCAGUGCAGAUUUGCAGAUUUGUUACAGUUCAUAUUCAUUUGCACCAACACCCAAUAAGUUUCUGCAUCUUCAGUGCUCGCAACCAAUCGUUUCAGAUUUGUUCCAAAUUAAAAAAAAAAAAAUAUUAUGGAAAAAACCGAACCGGACUGAAACCGAACCGAAAAAAAUCAAAACCGAAAAAACCGAACCGAAAAAAAACCGAAAAAAUUCGAACCGAACUGAACCGAAAUUUCGGUUCGGUUUCGGUUUUGACUAAAAACCGAACCGUUUCAAACCGAACCCAGCCCUAAUUCAUUUUAUCUUUUAUUUUAUUUUUAUUAUUAAAACUCAAAAUUUUCAAGAUAUUUUCUUUAGUUUUUUUUAGAAUUAAUGAUUUAUAAUGUAACAGCCCGUUUUUAAAAUUGGUGUGGGACCCACCACAGUGUGGUGUUUGUAAACCGGCCCACUGUUUUUCUUCCCACUCUGUGAUCUCUCUUUGGAUCCCUCUCUCUCCAACUCUCUUCUCCUCUCAAACUCACUCUCUCUCUCUCUCUCUAGGAUGGGUGCCAAUCACCAUCAUCUUCAUCAUCUAAGCCAAAUUCGUCCCCCAAAUUACCGAAAUCACAACAUGUGGAGCUUGGUGAGCAACAUGCUGCCCUUGCAUGUGAGGAUCUAUGUUGGGUUAAGUAAAACUCACCACACCGAAUCAUUCCGACGAAUUUGAGUUCAAUCUUGAGGGAUUUAGACUUAAUCGAGCUCAUGAUCGUCUUCAAUGGUUUCCAGGAGUUAAAAGCGAGGCAUUCGAUCCCCGAGUCAGUGUACCUUUGCGUAGGUUUGCAUUCAUGAGAGUCGUGUGGAGAGCAAGUCUAACAACACUUUUGAUGACCAUCCGACCUCUGGACUUGGUAGUCCUUGCGUGAUCUAUGUGAUGGAACUUGAUAUUCCUUCAGUAAUGGAAAACGAUGGAAUUGUUUUAGAGUAUGCUGUGGACAAGGAGCUUGAAGAUGUGAGUAAAUUUCCACUUCUUUUAUGGUGACAAUGUGUGUGCAUUAUAAUUAAAGAAUUCAAACACCUAAAAAUGCAAGGCAUCAUUAUCUUCUGCCCAUAAUUUGAGCCGAUAACGCCAUUCCGUAUGAUUAUGCAUCGGUAAUUUAAGCUUAGAAGCUGAAUGACGAGUUGUAGCUAAGAAACUGAACAUCUGGUGUCUAUUUUGUUUAUACAGUUGCAUACUUUUUAAUUUUUUUUAAAUUUUUUAUGGUUACGUUGUUAUAACCACGUUGAUUCAAUUGUAAAUGAGUAUCAAUAUCUUCGCGUUGCAACAGGCCAUUUAAAGGAGUCUCUUGAUGAAAUUGUUGAAGAACUUCGAAGACAAGAGGGCACUACAUGCCUCUGCUUCUCCUUCACAGGCUUUGCCUUGUUGGCUGUUGAUUCAAGGGUCACCGGCCCUGACAUGUUAACAGUAUCAAAGAUCUCGGUUGUGAACAACUCAUUGCAUACCAAAAUAUGCCGCUGUGGGGAUCUAUAUGAAUCCGUUCUCUUGAUUGAAGGUAAAGAAGGAAAAAUGGAGCAUAAGAGGAGCCAUAAUCGUGUUGCAAGAGCCAGUAAAGAUUUCAACAAGCAUCAAAAUUUCAUGCUAUGUUUGCACCGGUCUUGGAGAAGCACAUUUGGUAUAUUAUAAUGUUGAAAAGAAUGGUGCAACAUCCCAUGGUUCUACGUAGUUGAGCUUGGGAUUGCAUGACAUGGGUUUCGGAACACCCGUUGCAAUGUCGGAGCUAGCUUAUAAAUUUUUGGGUAGACGAGAUGGAGUCUUGCGUAAUGCCUAUCUACGUCACUAUGGAAUAAAAGGGUCGCUUGUAGGUCAGUGAGGUGGAAGCCAUAGAGGCAGCGUGUGGAGCCCUAUACCUUGCAGGUCUUAAAAGCAUAAAAACUAGACCACCGUAUGAGGUGCAUGUGUUCCGUAGAGGAGUACCAAAUUACGAACGGACUGUGCUAUUAACAGACGUUUCUUAGAAGUAGUGGGAUAUAACAAAGAAGUUGGUAUGUGGAAAGAGAAAUAUGGCAGUGUUUUAUUCGAAGGCGUUACUCUGAGAGAACCUUUGGAAAAUGGUCACAACAAAGUACCCUUUUGUAGAUGUUUGUAGGCAAGGACACCCUCUUGCGCUUCUAGAAGGAGGAUAUAUUCUACAUGUGGUUAAACUUGGGAGUCUUGGUAGCAUCAAGAAAACGAUUCAACGUGCGGCGACGUCUAGUGUAAUUGUACUUGAGGAGUUUGUGGUGGAAAAUUCAUAUUACAUUGAAAUGCGAGUUUUCGAAUUGAGUUUCACAAAGACAAUGGUCAAGAGGAAGAGGAAGUUGACGUCGAAUGUUUAUAUUGGGAGGGCUGGAGACAAUUUGUUGGAGUGCCUAAAAGAAUCCAAUCACUAAUCCAAAAAGAAGGGAGAUCGACUAAUUUCUGAAUUUUCCACCGUAAACUCCGGAAGUACAAUUGCACUAGACGUCGUCGCACGUUGCAUCGUUUUCUCGAUGCUACCAGCACUUCCAAGUUUAACCACAUGUAGAACAUAUCCUCCUUCCAGAAGCGCAAGAGGGUGUCCUUGCCUACGAACAUUUACAAAAGGGUACUUUGUUGUGAUCAUUUUCCAAAGGUUCUCUCAGAGUAACGCAUUCGAAUAAAACACUGCCAUAUUUCUCUUUCUACAUACCAACUUCUUUGUUAUAUCCCACUACUUCUAAGAAACGUCUGUUAAUAGCACAGUUUGUUCGUAAUAUGGUACUCAUCUACGGAACACAUGCACCUCGUACGGUGGUCCAGUUUUCAUGCUCUUAAGACCUGCAAGGUAUAGGGCUCCACACGCCACCUCUAUGGCUUCCACCUCACUGACUUGCAAGCGACCAUUUUAUUCCAUAGUGACCGUAGAUAGGCAUUACGCAAGACUCCAUCUCGUCUACCCAAAAAUUUAUAAGCUAGCUCCGACAUUGCAACGGGUGCUUCGGAACCCAUGCCAUGCAAUCCCAAGCUCAACUAUGUAGAACCAUGGGAUGUUGCAUCAUUCUAUUCAACAUUAUAAUAUACCAGAUGUGCUUCUCCAGGGCCGGUGCAAACAUAACAUGAACUUUUGAUUGUUGAAAUCUUUGCAGGCUCUUACAACACGAUUAUGGCUCCUCUUAUGCUCCAUUUUUCCUUCUUUACCUUAAAUCAAGAGCAAGGAUUCAUAUAGAUCCCCACAGCGGCAUAUUUUGGUCUGCAACGAGCUGUUCACAACAGAGAUCUUUGAUACUGUUAACAUGUCAGAGCCGGUGACCCUUGAAUCAACAGCCAACAAGGCAAAGCCUGCGAAGGAGAAGCAGAGGCAUGUAGGUCCCUCCUGUCUUCGAAGUUCUUCAACAAUUUCAUCAAGUUUAACCACAUGUAGGAUGUAUCCUCCUUCCACAAGCACAAGAGGGUGUCCGUGCCUACGAACAUUUACAAAAUGGUACUUUGUUGUGACCAUUUUCCAAAGGUUCUCUCUGAGUAACACCUUCAAAUAAAACACUGCCAUAUUUCUCUUUCCACAUACCAAUUUCUUUGUUAUAUCCCACUGCUUCCAACGAAAAUUUGUUAAUAGCACAGUCCGUUCGUAAUUUGGUCCUGCUCUACGGAACACAUGCACCUCGUACAGUGAUCCAGCUUUCAUGCUCUUAAGACCUGCAAGGUAUAAGACUCCACACGCGGCCUCUAUGACUUCCUCCUCACUGACUUGCAAGGAGAGAGAGCUACGAGCAGUUGAAUGAGGCGCUUGGCGAUACAGAUCAUUCGUGUAUUGUCGAUUAUUUUUCUUGAGCAAUUUUAUAUAUUUGUUUCCUUUUGGUAAAGAUUGAUUGGAUUACAA